RNAcentral lists this ribosomal RNA (253 nucleotides) under uncultured bacterium. RNAcentral's name for it is "partial 16S ribosomal RNA". It matches the Rfam family "Bacterial small subunit ribosomal RNA", at positions 524 to 776 of the family's 1533-position model. The record is from RNAcentral.
CACGUAGGGGACGAGCGUUGUCCGGAUUCAUUGGACGUAAAGCGCGCGUAGGCGGCUCGGAAAGUCGGUCGUGAAAUGCCGGGGCUCAACCCCGGGACUGCGUCCGAUACUUCCGGGCUGGAGGUAGGUAGGGGAGAUCGGAAUUCCUGGUGUAGCGGUGAAAUGCGCAGAUAUCAGGAAGAACACCAAUGGCGAAGGCAGCUCUCUGGGACGGUACUGACGCUGAGACGCGAAAGCGUGGGGAGCGAACAGG